UAGGAAGAUACAGAGAUGUGCAACUGCACUCCUGGAGAUGAGACUAUAGCAAUCUAAGAAAAAGGCAACCAUCGAAACUCGGUGACUGCUAACGUCCAUGAGUAGGGAAGAGAGCUAAAGCCAUCCAAGAAUUGGUACGAAUUCUCUGAGUUAACGAUCAAGGGGCUGGAAAGAAUCCCGAGUUCACCUGACGUCAAUGGCCACAACAUACCAAGCCCCAUUUACACUUUUGUUCUUCUGGUCAGACCUAUCCAUCAACCUCCCAUGUUCUUUUCAUGCUCACCGGCAUACAGGAUCACUGUGCGCAAAACCUGUCUUUGCCUUGUACUUGUCUUAAAGCAGUUCAGAUGACCCAGGUUUGAAACCCAGCACCAAUGCCCCGCCGCUGACAACCACCUGGAACACCAUCCACAGACUGAUCAGACACUUCAGAACUCUGCAGGCACUGGCACGGGAACAUAAACCGACCCACAGGCAUACGUACAUAUAAUUAUAAAAUAAAAUAAACCUGAAACAGAAAUGUUUUUCUAGCUUACCGAAUGCUAAGUAUCUGAGCUUUCGUUUUCUUGAAUCCAUUUGGAAGCUGUUAUUUUGAUUACUUAUCUAAGGUCUUCCAGCUUCUACGGGUUUUCAACUUUAAAAGAUCUCCCUAAAUUGACACUAUUUCCUAGCUUAAGCUCUCUAAUUAUACUCUGAAGCAUAAGGAGAAAAAGCUUAGAAUUUGUGGUGUUUAAAUGAUCUUCCUUACGCUAUUUUAAAUAGAAGGCAAAUGUGAAUUCGUUCUCGUUGAUCUUGUUUUCUCAAUGGGUGUGAAUAGAGCCAGAUACUUUAGAAGGAACAGAAAUCGCAUUUCCUUGUCUGAAUUAUUCAUGACACUCCAAGAUACAUUUAAGCUUUCCCCAGGUCCUGGCAGUAGUCCUGUGUUAUGAAACUGUUGGAGCUCAGUGAGUGCUUUUCUUCAGGAAGACUAUAUUUUGCUUUAAAAAAUAAUAAUAGCAUUUCCUAAAAUUUUCAGUUUUUUCCUUCUCGUCUGUUUUGUAAUUUCAAAAAAUAAAAUAAAAAAUAAGAAACGUCUCCUUAUUUGCUUUUUUAUCUCUGAGUAAAAAUGGCCUUUUAAAAAAAUCACAUGUCAGCAUCAGGACAAUGUGGACAGAAGAUCUGAUUACUGUGGGCCAUCUAUUCAUUUGCUAUGCUGACUGAAGAUUUAAUGG
Long non-coding RNA from Mus musculus (house mouse), 1211 nucleotides. RefSeq annotates it as predicted gene, 51529. NCBI's taxonomy places the organism in Eukaryota, Metazoa, Chordata, Mammalia, Rodentia, Muridae. The record is from RefSeq and is a predicted model, not a curated record. The transcript is spliced from 3 exons.